UGCUAGCUUUGGCAGCACUAUACUAAAAUUGGAAUACAAAGAAGAUUAGCAUGGCCCCUUCUCAAGGAAGGCAGGCACAUUUGUGAAGCGUUCCAUAGUUUU
Lutra lutra (Eurasian river otter) is the source of this 102-nucleotide small nuclear RNA. NCBI's taxonomy places the organism in Eukaryota, Metazoa, Chordata, Mammalia, Carnivora, Mustelidae. The record is from RefSeq and is a predicted model, not a curated record.